GAGAACCAGGCCACACACACCGUCUCCACGAUGAAGAUGUUGUAGCACAUCUGAGAGCAUUUACCCUGAAAAAGAAGAGUGGAAAGUUAGAAAACUUGGGAUUUUGAGCGUAGGGGCGGCAAUUUUAAUUAUUCCAGUGACUGAUCUGAGCCGAGCCAAUGGGUGUCUUAAUUCAAUCAGAGAAGGAGCUGGUUUAACUCUAAUUGCCACAAAUUAUUUCUGGAAAAAGAUGACCUCUCCUGAAGCAAAGCCUUUGCUUUGGUUGAGCAGAACGGUUCUGAACAGGGCUCUUGGAGCUUGAUGAAUUUCAGCAUGGUGCUUAUGGACAGGUUGAUGGCUGUUAUUGUGACGAACAGCACCGAAAGGCAGGCGAAGAUCUUCCCCGGCAGGCCGGAGUGAGGCUUCUCCACCAUGUCUCUUAGCUUUCCCAUCCAGCGGCCGAGGCAAG
This is a long non-coding RNA of Carassius carassius (crucian carp), 448 nucleotides long. RefSeq lists it as uncharacterized. The record is from RefSeq and is a predicted model, not a curated record. The transcript has 3 exons. Lineage: Eukaryota; Metazoa; Chordata; Actinopteri; Cypriniformes; Cyprinidae.